UCGAGAUUAUACGAGACUAUUAUCAUCAUUAUCGAGAUUCAGAAACCUGUUAUAUAUACUUGUAAGCUUUCAGUUUGGUCUCGACUCAUCUCGUCGCUUGACCAAGUUCCUUUUAUUUUAUAUUUUUAUCGUUGUCUCUUCCUUUUUUUCCAAAAAUCUUAAUUCGCAUACAAUUUAUACAACACAUGGCGUUUGAUCGAUACAUAAUCAUAACACCAGCAACGCGAGCAGCAACAUACGCGAGACAAACAGACGGCCAUGUUUACGUGGAAGGUGCGGCCACAGCCUAAUAACCCGAAUGAAACCGGACACACGCGCUUCGCACGGGUUAGAGAGUGAAUUAUAAGGAUAUAGGUAUGUAGAUAUAUACCUGUAUAUCCAUAGGGGCACACACUCACACGCCUCUGAAU
RNAcentral lists this unclassified non-coding RNA (410 nucleotides) under Athalia rosae (coleseed sawfly). Its description in RNAcentral is "misc RNA ENSAEAG00005004102.1". Lineage: Eukaryota; Metazoa; Arthropoda; Insecta; Hymenoptera; Athaliidae. The record is from RNAcentral.